Molecule: long non-coding RNA, 21432 nt
Filed under: Brassica napus (rape)
Lineage: Eukaryota; Viridiplantae; Streptophyta; Magnoliopsida; Brassicales; Brassicaceae
Description: long non-coding RNA (BNAP_LNC013587)
Source: RNAcentral
AACUCUAAACCCUAAAUCCGAAACCCUAAACCCUAAAACCCUAGAGUUGAUGUUUUAGAGUUUAGAUUUGAAGAUUUAGGGUUUAGGGUUUACGUUUAGGGUUUAGAGUUGAUGUUUUAGGGUUUAGAUCUGAAGGUUUAGGGUUUUAGGGUUUUAGGGUUUAGGGUUCAAAUUUCAGAAAAAAGAUAAGGUUUAGAGUUUAGAGUUUACGUUUAGGGUUUAGAGUUGAUGUUUUAGGGUUUUGAUUUGAAAGUUUAGGGUUUAGAGUUGAUGUUUCGGGGUUUAGGGUUUAGAGUUGACGUUUCAUGGUUUAGGGUUUAGAGUUGAUGAUUUAGGGUUUAAAGUUGAUGUUUAAGUUUAGAUUUAGGGUUUAGGGUUUACGUUUAGGGUUUAGAGUUGAUGUUUUAGGGUUUAGAUUUGAAGUUUUAGGGUUUAGGGUUUAGAGUUGAUGUUUCGGGGUUUAAGGUUUAGAGUUGAUGUUUCAUGGUUUAGGGUUUAGAGUUGAUGAUUUAGGGUUUAGAUUAGUUAAGCAUAUGUUUUUUUUUGUCAAAGGUAAUCAAAAGUUUAUAAAUGUCUUUUACCUUUCAUUGAAGAUGAGGAUAAAAAUGGUUAGUGUAAACAUGAAAAGCGGUACUUUGAAAAUGAUAUUUUUGGCAAUUUCCCUUAAAUAAAUUACUACAUAUUAAUAAUGUCGACUAAAAGUAUAAUUAAUAAUAUUAUAGAGUUACGCAAUAUGUAAUACUAAAACGGAAAUUAUAUAUUUAAAACAUUUGUAAUAAUAUAAAAUACAUUUAUAAAAUUAAAAAAUAUCGGUACGGACGUGCGGGUUAUAAUCUAGUAUAUUUUAAAAAUUAUUAUUUUAGAUAGAGUUUCCUUCAUUUCUUUUAGUUAAUAUAUUAAAUCAAUUUUUAUAAAUUUUCUUUAAAAUGAUAUGAAAAUAUUUCCAAUUAUCAAAUAAUAAAAUUAAAUCUAAUUCUAAAAUUUAAAAUUUAAAAUUUAUAAAUAUAAGGUGGAAGUAAAUGGUGUUACGAUUUAAAUAAAAAUUCGUAAUUAAAGUACAAUUUUUAAUUCUAGAUAUUAAUUCUAGAUAUUAAUUCUAGAGAUUAUAGAGCUAUUAAUCUCUAGAAUAUUAUAAAGCUAUUAAUCUCUAGAGAUAAAAAAUUUCAAUUUUUUAUAAUAACUUUAUAAUUCUUCAAAAUAUGUUUUUUCUUCAAUUUAUACAUGUUGCUAUAAUACAUUUUAAGAAUUUAUUUAUUUAUAUCAUAAACAAUGCUAUAGAGCAAUUAAUCUCUAGAGAUUACGGCACUAACAUAUUUUAAUCUCUAGAAUUAAAAAUUGUAUUAUUAUAAAUAACACUAAAUAAUAUUUCGUAAUUUAAAAAAUAUUUUAUAAUUAUUACAUUAUUUAAUGUCAUGUUUAAAUAUAUUUAUUUUAUGAUGAUUAUGAGUUAUAAUUUUAGAUAGAUUUUUAUUUAUUUAUUUUGUUGAUAUAUAUUAAAUCAAUUUAUACAAAUUUUCUUUUUUAAAAAAUGAUAUGAAAUUUUUAUAAUUAUCAAAAAAUAGAAUUCAUAAAAUUUAAAAUUUCUAAAUAUAAAUAGGAAAGAAAUAAUUUAACGAUUAAAAGUUUAUAUUUUUAUAAAAAUUGUAUAAAUUUUUUAAAAUCUGGUUUAGUAGUAUAUGAUUAUAAAAAUAAACUAAAUAAUAUUUCAAAAUUUGUAGAAACAUUUAUACUUAUUACAUUAUUUAAUUUCAAAUUUAAAUAUAUUUAUUUUAUGAUGAUUAUGAGUUAUUUACAUAUUCUAUAAAGUUUACCAAAAAUAGAAAUUAACAUUAAAUGUAAUUGUCAUGUCAUAUUUUGCAUUUAGCCGUAUCGUCAAUUAUAGUAUGUCAUGUCACCCUUUUUUUGUUAGUGAAAGUGAUUCUACAGAUGUUAUGUGUCAACACUUUUCAAAUCAUUUAUAGGGAAUUAUCUAGCGUUUAAAAAAGAGUAAUGUAUGAGCCGAGAUAUUUGUUGAAAAUAAUGUUUAAACCAAAUAGAAAGAAUAAAAUUAGAAGGCCGUAAAUGAGGCCAAAAUGUGGCUUUUCAGAAAUUAGAAGUUGGAAUGGAGUUCUACUAUCUUGCAUAAUAUUUCCAAGUAUUGCAAAUGCUUUUGUAGAUUCUUAAAGUGGAUACAUGGCACUUGAAUCUAUGAAACACCAUGCUAACAUUAUGAUGCUAAUGUGUGUUUACUCUUUAUUACUAAUCAUCUAUCUAAUCAAAAGCUACAGAAACUCGAACGGGAAAAAUGUAAUCCCCCCUCUAUCUUUUGAAGCCCAUUACUAAUGGUAAGGUUCUUUGGUAAUAGACCAACCAAAGAUCCUUCACGAUGAUCUUUCUUGUCACAUGGUUUGGGCACGCAUUACCAAGGGCUUAUUGAGAUACUUUGGUUUUAAGGAUUUUAACCAUGGAAUAAAUCCAAUUUUAGGAUCUAUUAUAUGUGUUUUGAAUCUGUUUUUUUUUUGUCUUUAUAGGUUCAUGUAUGUUAUAGAGCAUUCUAGAGAUUAUAGAGCUAUUUGGAGCAUUUUAAGAAUUGAUGUCGAAAAUUUGAAGUUGGAUUCAGUGCCGAUCAACACCAUUCUUAGUGUCGCGCGAUACCCAUACUGUUCGAGCAAGCCAACACGCAUCUCAAAAAUUUCACUUUGGCCCAAAAGUUUAUAGUAUUUGCAAUAAAAAAAUCUCUUGCUCAAAAAAGAUAAAAUCUCUAGCGUGUUUAACCUAUAUUUAUUUUUUUCUUUCCAGCCAUUUUUUAGCCCACACUUUAUUUUACUCUUUCCAUUCAAAGAUCGAUUGAAACUCUAAUAUUUCUUACUUUAUCUAUUGUGUGCAUUUUAUUCAAAUUGUAAUUAUGUUUUGGAUGAUUAUGUCCAAUUAAACUUCUUGUUGGAUUUAGGGAUCUCUUGGCCUUAAUGUCAUAUUGCUGAUUGAUAGAUUGCUAGGGUUCAUUGUAUUCUACACCAGGAUUGUUUAUCGUACUUGCUUCGAGAGUAAUUAACUAGAACCGAAAAUCACAGGAUAGUUGUGAGACACCAGAGUGUAAUCAAUUACCUGAACCUAAUCAUGUUGGACUAAGUAUUUAUUUGCAACAAGGUUGGUAUAAGAAUUUAGUUGAACAUAAUCAAAUCUGAUCUAAUGCUUGUCUGACUCGCUGAUUCCGCAACGAGAAUUGGUUUUUAAUAGAAUUAGGCAUCUAAUACUUUUUUACAGCGAGAUCUGGGUGACUUACAAUUGAAUUUGAAUUCUAGCAUUGUUCUUAACAAAUCAUUGGCACCUAUUGAUUGCAGUUUUGAAACAUUUGUCUGAUUUCUCUAAGUCUAUCACCUUCUCAUCUGUUACACAACCGUUAAGAUUUACUGUUUUGUUUUAUUGUCUUAUACUUCUGGCUUAUCUUGGCAUGAAAUAAUAAAUCUAUUAUGUGAUCUCAAGUUCAUGUGGAUUUGAUCCUAAGUAUUACAGAGAUCCUUUUAUUUGAGAGAAUAACUUAAAAGUUUAAUUUGAGCGUAUCACAUAUUCAACUACGGCCUUUUAACUGAACACCUAAACAAAAUAACCACAUAAUCACAUUUCCGAUAAACAAACUGGAUACAUGUCAGACUAAGACGUAUUAAAGAUCAAAUACCUUUUUCAUUAAUAAACAUAUGGUCUUUCAAAAACGCCUCAAACACAAACAUCUUCUGCUGCCUUGAAACCAAAGUAGGCCCGUGAAUAAUGCUGAUUUUUAUAGCUGGGAAGGGGAACAAAAGAAAGAAAUACACACAUCCCUUUAAGUGCAGAUAGACCGCUAAAACCAACUCUGUAGACGGAAUAUGUCAUCAUCUACUGUUUUCGGAAGCCAGUUACUACCCGCUUUGUCAUGAAUAAUGGAACCAACUUAGAACCAAACAAAAGAAAUGUCAAAAAAUGAAAUAAGUAUUGUUUAAUGUUUGUUAUAUGAAAUCAGAAUGGUUGAGAGUGAUACUGAAUAAGGAAAACACUUGAGAUGAUUAAAAUUGACACAAAACUAAUAGAAAAUCCUUGAAUGAUGCUGCGUAGACAGAGGUCAAGAACAGUAGAUGAUGUUGCCAAAAAGCUCAACUAAAGACCUCCUGAAUCAAGCCAAGAACAAAUGGUUUUUAGAGAUUAUGGAGUUUAUUGGCAAGUGAUUUAUUAGCCACCUAAGCAUUGUGAUGUGGGUAGUGAUGUGAAAUCUAUCAGAAAAAAUCUAAAGUUUUAUAUUUAGGCUAUAGCUUUAUUUUUAUUUUGUUUUUUUUGCUGUAGAAUAUAGGCUUUAAAUUUUUCUGUUGUAUCUAUAAAUUCUAUUGCUAUAGAUUUACAUCAAUAACUUUCAAAACACUAAAUAUAAAACUUUAUGAAAUUGAAUUUUCAAAGCCAAGUGGGUGUCGAAGCUGUUUAUCUUGUGAGCAAAGUGGGUGUACUGAAAUUUUUCAUUUUUGGGUGUAUCAGCCACAUGCCACAACUGAAGUAAGCAUACACAAAAGGGCCAUAAGCAAACACUAAAGAGCAAACAAUGUUGGUCAAAAUCCUAAAAGUGUAAAACGGAAACAAGUCUGCCUGGAAGGGGUUCUCUCUCAUCAUCACAAGGUUGGUAGCUUAUUUUCUCAUUCGAGGAUUAAAUAUUGGAAGCAGGGAAUAUGAAGAGAGUAUCAAAAACAAUAAGAUUAAGAAAUGUGUUGUCAUUUUAUUAGAGAACCAAACACAUGGCAGGAAAUAAAAAAACAACUUUGUCUCCAGGGUUUAAUUUAUUCUAACAUGGCAAGAAAUAAAGAUCGAUCAUAAAUAAGAACCUCUCAUUCCCAACAGGGUAAACAUCAACAGAGUUACCCAAAAAGGUUAGUUUUCACUAUAUAUGGUGGUAGCAAUGAAGUGUAUACCAGCUGCCUACACCUGCUCAUAAAGAAAAGUAGUUCCACCAUGGUUGGUCAUCUUAAUUACAUGUCUCUCCAAAUAAUAGGAUUGAAAGGCUUCCAAGUUCGUUGGUAGGCAAAGUAAACAUAUAUAGCCCAUGAUGCUGAACGAAUUAUUAAUAUUCAGCGUGGGAUUGAUGUGUGGAUUGUUAUAGGGCUAUGUUCCUCUUGUUGGAUCCUUGUGUCAGUCUUAACAUCUUGUUUCACCUGUGUUUCUUUCUUUCUAUGAGUCUCUUUGAUAUACUUUCAGUAUCAUUACAACAAAAAUGAUUCCGGUUAGAGCAUUUGACAAGGGAGAGGUAGAGAGUGUUCCUUUGAAAUUUUUCAUCAUACUUGCUUUAAUACCUCCCUCCCACCUUGGUUUUAAAUGACGCAUGGUGGGUGUCUCGCCUUUCGCCAUGAUUGUUUAGCUUAGUUUGCUUUAAAUAAGGUUGGUUCUGUUUGUAAUGAUGUGUUCUAUUUGUGAUGUUUUAUUAUUACGAAGGAUUUUUUUUCUUCCAUAUGGUUAUUUUGUGGUGUUAUUUCCAUGGAAUUUAUCAGAGAUGCGUAUGAUAGUGUGACUGUGCAUAUUAGCUAUUAGUUGUGCAGUUACAGUGUAAGUUAGCUCUUACUACGUUGUAUAUAAGUGAGCUCAAGUUGUACAGUAAAGUUAAUGAGAAGAUUUACACAUUCAUAACAAACUUUCUCUCUCGGAUCUUCUUCUCUAAACGUUUCCUUGAUAUGGUAUCAGAGCUUCACGAUCAUGAGUGUUUCCUUACGUGAGCUUUCGAUCUUUCAUUUCAUCUCUUUUCUCUUCAUCGCAUCUCGAUUCAUCAUUCUUGUUCUCCAUUCGGUCUUUGUUCUUCUCGAUUCGAGCUUCAUUUGAGCUUGUUUCGAUCUCAUUUUCUCGAUUCGAGCUUUCAUUGAGCUUGUUUCGCCCUUAUUUCAUCUCUCCUCUUCGAUUCACGGCGUUUCUUGAGCUUCUCCAGUUCAUUUCCCGGUGAUUCCUCUGUCUAAUGGCGCCGUCUUCAUCUACUCCGAAUAUUCCGGCGACUCCGGUGGAUUCUUCUCCGAUUACCGAUCACUAUGAGAAUCCUUACUAUCUACACAGUUCUGAUCACGCUGGAUUGAAAUUGGUCACCGAUCGUCUCACAUCUGGUGCGGAUUUUCAUUCCUGGCGUUGAUCUGUUCGAAUGGCUCUUAAUGUUCGUAACAAACUCGGCUUUGUUGAUGGUACGAUUCGAAAACCUCUUAGUACCAGUCGGGAUUCAGGUUCUUGGUCAAGAUGUAACGAUAUGGUGGCAACUUGGCUAAUGAACUCUGUUUCCAAGAAUAUUGGUCAGUCUCUCUUGUUCAUGUCUAUGGCUGAGUCGAUUUGGAACAAUCUGAUGUCACGUUUUAAGCAAGAUGAUGCUCCACGAGUGUUUGAGAUUGAGCAACGUCUUAGCACUCUUUCUCAGGGAUCUCUUGAUGUUAGUGCUUAUUAUACAGAGCUGAUUACGUUGUGGGAAGAAUAUAAGAACUACAUUAUGCUACCUGUUUGCACUUGCGGUCAUUGUGAAUGCAAUGCGGUUUUGUUGUGGGAACAACUUCAACAACGUGGCCGUGUCACCAAGUUUUUGAUGGGGCUCAAUGAUACUUAUGAGCAAACGCGUCGUCAUAUUCUCAUGUUGAAGCCUAUUCCUACCAUUGAGGAGGCUUUCAACAUUGUAGCUCAGGAUGAAAGGCAGCGUAAUCUCAAACCUGUUGUCCAGACUGACGCUGUGACAUUAAAAACAACAGGACCUGCUGCGGCGUAUAUUGAUUCAAUGGAGUUUGCUGCUGCGUAUAACGCAUAUCGUCCUCGUGGUAAUCGUCCUCUCUGUACACAUUGUGGACAGCUUGGACAUACUGUUGCUAAAUGCUUCAAGCUUCAUGGCUAUCCCCCUGGCUAUAGGCCACCGUCAUCUGGUUAUCAAGGACAGUCCUAUGGAGCUUCUCAACGAUCUUUCACUCCUCGUGGUCAACACAAUUAUACUCCGCGCUCUCAAAUUCCUCCAAAGACUGUUGCUCAGAUGUCUUCUCAUGCUGAUUAUAUUCCGUACAUUCCACCUCCUGCUGUUUUAGCAACUUCUCUGGAUGUCAAUCAGCUGAACUCUUCCCAACUACAGUCUAUCAUUCAACAACUCCAAUCUCGUGUUCAGAUUCCUGAUACUGUUGCUGCUUGUAUAACGGCCUCUAUCACUGAGAAAGGUGUCAUGGAUCCACAAUCAUCAUCUGGUAUCAGUCUCAAUAUCUCUUCUAAUCUUCGAUAUCAGAAUCACAUCUUCACUUUUCACCAUCAAUGUCUUUCCACUCUCUAUAAUUCAUUACCUAAACAAUCUUGGAUCAUUGAUAGUAGUGCUACAAGUCAUGUUUGUGCUGAUCUUUCAAAGUUUCAAGAAGUCUUUGAUGCAUCUAAUCUGACUGUUUCAUUACCAAAUGGAACAACAUUUCCCAUCUUGCAUACUGGCACAAUUAGACUUUCUGAUUCAUUAGUCUUGUAUGAUGUUUUACAUGUUCCUUCAUUUCAUUUCAAUCUCAUCAGUGUGCAUGCUUUACUUCAUCAUAACAACUGUUCUGCACAUUUUUACCCUGAUCAUUGUUUUCUUCAUGACCUUUCUCAGGCCUCGAUGAUUGGGAAGGGUGAUGUUUUCAAUAGUCUUUACAUCCUUGAUUUGUCUGCUUCUUCCCCUACUGCUUUACCUGCUGGUUUCUGUGGAUCAUUGUCAGUUAAUUCAACUACUUGGCACAAUCGUUUGGGUCAUCCGUCUGCUGCUAAACCCAGGUCUUAUCUGAUGCUUUGUCUUUACCUAGUUCGAGUUUGUCUUGUCAUGAGCAUUGCUCUGUCUGUCCUUUAGCUAAACAAAAGAGUAUUUUCCUUUUCACAAUCAUAAGUCUGAUACACUCUUUGCUUUACUUCACUUAGAUAUUUGGGGUCCUUUUUCGAUUGAGCCUGUUGCUGGUCAUAAGUAUUUUCUCACUAUUGUAGAUGAUGCUACUCGUGUGACUUGGGUGUACAUGCUUCGUAAUAAAAGUGAUGUUUCUCAUUCGUUUCCUGCUUUUAUUACUCUUAUUCAAACUCAAUACAAUGCUCAGCUAAAAGCUAUUAGAACUGAUAAUGCUCCAGAAUUACAAUUCAAUGACAUCGUUUUGAAAUAUGGCUUAACUCAUUACUUCUCUUGUGCUUACACUCCUCAACAAAACUCCGUCGUUGAGAGAAAACAUCAACAUCUUCUUAAUGUCGCUAGAGCAUUGAUGUUUCAGUCCCAGAUCCCUUUACCAUAUUGGUCUGACUGUGUUGUGACUGCUGCUUUUCUUAUUAAUCGUCUCCCUUCUCCGUUCUUACAUAACAAAUCACCAUAUGAGCUUCUACUCAAUAAAAUUCCUGAUUACAGUGUUCUUCGUGCUUUUGGUUGUCUGUGUUAUGUUAGCACUUAUACUAAAGAUCAUCACAAAUUUAGCCCUCGUGCUCGUGCCUCUGUCUUCUUAGGUUAUCUACCUGGUUACAAGGGUUAUAAAGUGCUUGACUUAGAGACUCGCUCAGUUUCUAUAACGCGUAAUGUUGUUUUCCAUGAGACUAUAUUCCCUUUGCGAAAUGACUCUUCUCCUGUAUUUGAUUUUUCUCUCAUAUAAUACUUCCUGCUUCUACACCUUUUGUUCCUGAUACUACUAUUGCUAAUACUCAUGCAUCUCCAUCUUCAUCUCCUCAUUCGCCUGCAUCUCCUCCAUCUCCUGUGGUUCCAUUGGUUCCUGAAACAGUCACUUCAGAUACUUCGUUGGUUUCCUGUCCUAUUGAGCGACCACGCAGACAUGCUAAGGCACCCUCCUAUCUCUCUGAUUAUCAUUGUGCUCUUUUAUGUUCUCAUACAUCUCACAUUCCUUCUCAUCAUACCACUCCUUAUCAUUUGUUCUCUGUUCUUUCUUAUAAACGCCUUUCCCCUCCUUAUUUUCAAUUUUUGAUGUCUUUUUCGGUUGAGACUGAACCUAAAAACUUCUUCCAAGCCAUGACAUCUGAUCGGUGGAAAGGGGAUGUUAAUGAGGAGCUCGUUGCCAUGGAUUUGAACAGAACUUGGUCUAUUGUUUCUUUACCUCCAGGUAAAAAUGCAGUUGGAUGCAAAUGGGUUUUUACCAUCAAGUUUCGUGCUGAUGGUACUGUGGAGCGUUACAAAGCAAGACUUGUUGCCAAGGGGGUAUACACAACAAGAGGAUGUUGACUAUAAUGAAACCUUCUCCCUGGUGAUCAAGCUCACUAGUGUCAAGUUGAUGCUUGAUCUUGCUGCUUCCAAAGGAUGGAAACUAUCACAAAUGGAUGUUUCUAAUGCGUUUCUCCACAGCACUCUUGAUGAGAAAAUUUACAUGUCGCUUCCUCAAGGAUAUACUCCUGGACCUUCUGAAGUUCUUCCUCCUAAUCCGGUGUGUCGUUUGCAUAAGAGCCUCUAUGGUCUCAAACAAGCUUCUCGCCAAUGGAAUCGAACUUUCUCGAAGGUUCUUAUCACUGCCGGUUAUGUUCAAUCUGAAUCUGAUACAAGCUUAUUUGUCAAGACUUCUCCAACUGCUUUCAUUGAUGUUUUGGUGUAUGUUGAUGACAUAGCUAUUGCAAGCAAUAAUGACCCAGAGCUUGCUGCUUUGAAGCUGGCCCUUGCUACUGCUUUCAAGAUCAAAGACUUAGGAACUAUGCGUUUCUUUCUUGGUCUUGAGAUAGCGCGUUCUUCCUCUGGGAUCUCUGUCUGUCAAAGAAAGUAUGCUUUGGAUCUGUUGGAGAAUGCUGGUCAUCUUGCUUGCAAACCUGCAAGUGUGCCAAUGGACCCUUACGUUCAUCUGAGUAGUGACGAUGGUGUUCCUCUACCUUCUGCUACUCCUUAUCGUGAGCUGAUCGGUCGUCUACUUUACUUGACAAUCACUCGUCCUGAUAUCACCUUCGCUGUUCACAAGCUCAGUCAAUUUUUUCAGAAACCCACUGAUGGUCAUCUUAAUGCUGCUCACCGGGUUCUGAAGUACUUGAAAGGGAAUCCAGGACAGGGUUUAUUCUAUUCUUCUUCCUCUGAGCUUUGCUUGAAUGCUUUUGCUGAUGCAGACUGGGCUUCUUGUCGAGAUACUCGCAUUUCCACUACUGGCUACUGCGUCUAUCUGGGUACAUCUCUCAUCUGUUGGCGUUCACAGAAGCAAAAGGUUGCGAGCCGUAGCAGUACUGAGGCAGAGUAUCGAGCGUUAGCUGAUGUUACUCGUGAGAUUCUUUGGUUCCAGACGCUACUGCGUGAUUUUCAUAGUGAUGUUACCGCUGUUGCUAAGCUGUUAUGUGAUAGCAAAUCCGCCAUCUACAUUGCCACCAACCCCGUUUUUCACGAGCGCACUAAACACGUUGAACUUGACUGUCACAUUGUGUGGAAUCAGCUUAAGGCCGGUACGUUGAAUACUAUCCAUGUUACGAGCCAGAACAAGUUAGCUGACAUCCUCACCAAACCUCUUCAUCCUGGCCCGUUUCGUUCUCUCCUAGGUCGCAUGUCCAUUUCAAGCCUUUAUCUUCCUCUUGAUGCAGAUUAAGGCUUGAUGGGGACGUAUCAGAGAUGCGUAUGAUAGUGUGACUGUGCAUAUUAGCUAUUAGUUGUGCAGUUACCGUGUAAGUUAGCUCUUACUACGUUGUAUAUAAGUGAGCUCAAGUUGUACAGUAAAAUUAAUGAGAAGAUUUACACAUUCAUAACAAACUUUCUCUCUAGGAUCUUCUUCUCUAAACGUUUCCUUGAUAGAAUUGGCGAUGAUUAAUCCCAACUGUUUUUGUUCCAUUUUUCAUGCGCGUGAAUUUUUUAUUUCAAAGAGAAUUCGAGUAGAGAUAUGUCUUUUGAAGAAAAAAUCAUAUACAAAGUACAAGAAAAAAAAGUAAUGCGAUAUAAAUAGAAGAUUGAUACAAUAUUAUAUAUAUCAAGCAAACUCAUACUAUUAUUUUAUUCUUUUGAAGAUUGAUACAAUGUUUUAUUAUUCUUAGAAUAUUAUAACCCCAAAUUUAAACUUCAAUAAUUAGUAUCCUUCCAAAGGAAAAAAUUACAUUAUUUACUAACCAUCCAAGGAAAAAAUUCUUUGGUCGGUUUUUUAUUUCUCACUAAGGAUAGACCUUUAGGAUCAGCAAUAUAUUCGCGUAUCUGACCACAUCGAGCGUUGUACGCUCCUCUAUAUGCUCUCCAUAACAUAACAAAAUUCCUAUUCUUCUGAUCCGUUAUUCUACAUUUCCAUACUAUUCUCCUUGAUGAUUCCACAACCGGAAAGCUGUAUAUAUCAUUGAAUUUUACAUAAGUGAUACCUUUGCCUUCGUCCCUAUUGGACGUGCAACCGACAGAGAUCGCACGAUCAGGUGCAACUUGGUUUUUAAAUUGUAAAGUGUUCGGAGGGCAUCCGGAACUUUCUUUAAAACCAAAACACAUAACAAUAACUAACAUAAAAAUAAUGAGAUUAUUCAUUUUUGGAUCUAAAGAUUUUUUUUUUUUUUUUUUUGGACAAGGAUCGAAAGACUCAAAGACCCAAACUGUAAUAUUUAUAGUUUCUUUUUCUGAUAAAUAAGGUAAUAGGCUAAAUAUAAACACAAAAAUAUUGACCAAACAUUUGGUGGGAGAAGCAUUCGUUGUCGAAAACUAAGGUAAUUCCAUAAGAUCAGAUCAAAUAAAUUAAUACUGCAAAUUAAUGUUGACCAAUAUAUCUAAAGAAAAUAAUCAAUGUUGAUCCGUGUAAUAUAAUUUCUACACGGAUCACACUUUUAAACCAUUGAUUAAAGUGAAUUCAAUGGCCCAGAUCUCUUGUUCAACAUUCUUCUCCAUUAUUUCAGUCAUAUAUGCAUUUCUUGUUCAAUACAUUAUACACGGAUCACUCUUUAUUUCUUCUCUCUCCAAAUCUCUUCUUUUUUUCACUCACUCAGAAAAACUUAAAAUUUCUCUUUUCUCUUCUAAGUCUCAUAUCUCUUCCUAGUCAUCGCUCAAGUUCGUAAGCUCGUCGUCGCUCAAGCUCGUCAUAGUUCAAGGCGGUAGUCCCUAUGAGAAGAAGCUCCGGUGUGGCAAGCUUGACGGUGGUGCGUCGAGAAGUGAUGGCGGUGGUAAAGAAAUGUCAUCUCUCUCUCUGUUUUGAAUCUCUGUGUGUUUUGGAGGAGCUUGAUGGAGGAGGCCGAAGAAGGUUGACGGCGGAAGAAGGUUAACGGCGGAGGUAGCAUAAGAAGGUUGACGGCCGGAGAAGACAGGAAAGCUUGACGGCGGAGGAGGCUAGACUUGGUCUCGAGACAUGACCGGAGUGCUGGUGACGACGAGUCUGCGUCCUUCUGCAAGACAAAGAGUACGACUAGGAGUAGAUACGGCGAACAGCAUUAAGUUUAGACUUAGUUUCUAAACCGGGUUCGUGACAAAAAAAAAUGUUUCUAAACCAGGUUAAAUUGAUUUAAUUUUGUAAACCGAUCUUUUAAUAAUAAAAUAAAUUAAAUCUCUAAACCGAAUUUUAUUUUAUAUAAACGGAUAUUUAUUUUUAAUAAUAAACCAAAGUUUAUUUUUAAUAAUAAACCAAAGUUUAUUUUUAAUAAUAAAAUGAAUUUUUAAUAAUAACAAAACUAGCUAUAACAAAUACUAUCGUACGGUUUAGAGAAUAAAUCGUUUAAAAAGUGCUUAAAUAGAAAGGAGAGUUAUUAUAGUUGGGGCAGACAUAGCUCUCAGUGGCGAAGCCAUGGCUUAGGGUAACACACAAUUAUAUUAAAAUUCUAAAUUGUACAUGCUACAACAUCGAAGUUUCGUAGCUCUGAUGGUAAUAAGAAGCUUGUGCACCUUUGAUUUCUCAUGUUUAUAGUGCACCCAUUAUUUUAGUGGUCUAGAUUCGCCGCUGAUAACGCUUUUAAUAAAUCUAACAAUAAUGUAUAAUAAUUUCUUACCGAGAGGGUAUCUUGGCAUCACUUACUCUCUUCUUGGUAAAUUUUGUUUUCGUUACUUCAACAAUACCAAACUCUUUGCUUCAACUGUGAUAUUGAAUGCUUAACAUAAUGUACUGCAUGUGUUGGUCUGCAGCUUGUAUGGAUUCUUGUCUAUAGCUUGACACACUUCUGGAAUAGCUGGCCAGACAUUCUUCGUACUGAGCAUCAAAUGCUACUUCUCCGUUAACUUGGAAUCCCUGAACAAAUCUCUAUUUUCUGUUAACUAUCGGAGGAAAUACUUUAAAGAGGUACACCGAUGAGCAUUCGAGUGAGGUAUUCCCUGAACAAAGCUGGUUUUUCUCUCCACUUUGCGUUGCUCUCUGGUAUUCCUUGGUUGAUACUUGAUGACUUUAAUCAAGUGAAGUGUGCCAAUGAACAUUCGAAAUCAGAUAGGUUAUCUUCAACUCGGGGUAUGCGUGACUUCGAUAACUGCCUUGCCACGACAUUUAUCUCAGACCUUCCCUUAUGUGGUAACCGUUUACUUGGACAAAUAAUCAAAGGUCUUCUAUAAUCUCUAAGAAGUUGGACAGGAAUCUUGUUAAUGAUGACUGGCUCAGUGCCUUUCCAAUUUCCAUAGGAGUGUUUGGCAAUUCAGGAAUGUCUGACCAUAGCCCGUGCUGUGUCUUCUUGGAUAGUCACAAGCCUAAGCAGAAAAAGCUGUUCAAGUUCUUUACCAUGCUGAAUGACAACCAAGAAUUCUCAGUCUUGCUUAAGGAGGGCUGGAACGCUUUUCAAUUCCAUGGUUCAUCCAUGUUCAAAGUUUCCAGAAAGCUAAAAGAGUUGAAGAGUAUUAUUCGUACUACUCAUGCAUUGAAAAUCGGGUCAGGGAAUCUUUUGAGGAACUUCUUCAGCACCAAAAUGUCUUGUUUAACUCUCCUACUACUCACACUGCUGCUGAGAAACGGAAAUCCCAUAGUAAGUGGCUGCUACUACCAAAAGCUGAGGAGUCUUUUCUCUAUCAACGCUCUCGCGUUAACUGGCUUGACAAAGGUGAUUCGGGCUCCAUAUGUUUUCAUCGCUCAAUGCGUUCUCGCAAAUUACAGAACCAAAUCAUCUUCCUCUUGGACGAUAAUGAUGUUAUUUUAGAGACAAGAGAGGAGAUCAUGAACCACGCUGUGGACUUUUAUGAAAAUCUUCUUGGUGGUACUGGUUAUCAGUCUUCGGCCUCUGUGGAAGAAAUAGCCUCUCUUGUCAGCUACCAAUGCCCGGCUUCAAGCUUUGAUUUUCUAGCAGCUCCUUUCACUAACGAAGAGAUCCAAAAGGCUUUAUUUUCCCUCCCUACAAAUAAAUCUCCAGGUCUAGAUGGGUACCCAGCUGAGUUCUUCACGGCUAACUGGAAGAUUGUGGGAUCAGAUAUGAUUAGUGUAGUGGCUGAGUUCUUCACCUCGGUAACCUUCACCAGAAAUGGAACGCAACUAUCCUAACUCUUAUCCCUAAAAAGCAAAAUGCAGUCAAUAUUUCGGAUGUCCGUCCAAUCUCUUGCUGCAACACUGCUUAUAAAGUUAUUCCAAAGCUUUUAGCUAUGAGGUUGAAGCAGAUCCUACCAGACGUUAUUUCCAAUACCCAAUCGGCCUUCAUAUCGGGCAUAUUGCUUCUUGAGAAUGUUUUAAUGGACAGAGUUAGUUAAGGGGUAUAAUUGGAAGAAUAUAUCGAAGCGUUCAAUGCUAAAAGUGGAUCUUAAGAAAGCUUUUGACUCUUUAAACUGGAGUUUUAUUAUCUCCAUACUUCAAGCUCUGCGUCUUCCUCCAUCUUUUAUCAACUUGAUUUCUCAAUGCAUCACCACUACCAGAUUCUCGGUGGCCGUGAAUGGAGAGUUGGGCGGUUAUUUCAAGGGAGCUAAAACUCUAAUAUGACAUCUAAAAUUUCAUAUUACUUGAAAAUUCUAUAAAAAUAAUAAUAAAGAUUGCAAACAAAAGAAAACAUUGAAAAAAAUCAUAAAUUAAAUAUAAAAAAUAGAACAUCUGACCGUUUAGUCUCUCCUAUACGAAGAACUCCAAUUACUCAAAACCAAUAAGAUAGCAUCUGAAGAUAUCAUUUUAUAUAUUAUUAGUCCAGUGUAAAUUCAAAAUGUGAUACAAACCGUUUAGUCCCUCCUAUACGAAGAACUCCAAUUACUCAAAACCCAUAAGAUUAAAUUCUAUGUCAAGCCGAUGUUAUACGUGGAACGCGUUGAGCGUUUCAUAAAAUAUCAACGCGUUACUCAAAAUAUCUAACUCCACUCUUGUGUUAUGGUAUAUGAGCAAUAUGCAUGAGUAUAACCGAUAUGUUUUCACUAUCAUCCCAACAUAUGUUUGUGUCGAUUCUAUACGUCUGGUUGUGGACGUACGUUAAUUUAUUUACGAUCAAGCGAAGUGAUUGAGAAGGUGUAGCACAAUCCGCGAUCACAGGUCGUGGUGGUGCCCAAAACUUGCAAAGUUGCAAGUUGCAACUACAAGAAAUUUAAAAAAUAAUAAUACAAGAUAAAUAUUGGAGCUAGAAGAAAUCUACGACGCACAUUUCUGAUCAUAUAUGUCAUUUGUCGGUUUUCGCAUGUGCAACAGUGAGAUGAUAAUUGAGUGUACGGAACAAAUCAAUCCCCAUGCAUGUGUAUCGAUCAGAAAGAUAUAAGAAGAAGAAAGAUCUUAAACGCCUGCAUUGAAAUAGCUCUUUCUUCUUUUGUUUACUUUGGGACACCACAAAUACAACGUUGUAUAUUUGCUUCUUGUUUCCUUGUUCAAUAAUAAAGAUACCUUAUAACAUCAUAAUGAAUAUUUUUAUCUAUUCCCUUUAGAAACUGAUGAAUGAAAGCUGAACGGAGCCGUUUAUCUUUUUGAGAAAUAUAUCAUGAGAUUAGAUUAUCAGAGGUGUAAGCAUUCCAGUGCAGUACGUUUCAGCAUGUUUUUUUAUUGUUCAGUUUCUACAUGUUUGGCCAUGGUAAAUGCCUUAAAUGAUAAUAAAUGUUAGUCAAGUUUCAGUUAGGCUUCAGUUACAAAGAAAAACAAGAUAAUGUUAGCGUACAUUUUAACUAUUUCCUAAAUUAAUGGUAAUUUUUGUAGAUUCACCACAGGUUGAUCCAUUCAUUCAUCAGUGGGUUAUAUUUUUAUCUGUCACUUUAAUUCCAUGAAAUUUUACAGCCAUUUGCACAUAAAUUGAUUUUUUCCUAAAUAAAAAUUCUAGCCAAUGAUCGGUGAAGUGAAAGCGUUAGGACAAAAACCCGGUCGGAAAUGGGACUAUCUUGAGGAACUAGAGACUUGUAUUGCUUGCUUGAGAUAGAAACACAAUAUCUCCUUUUGAAGAUUUACUUCACUUUCCGGGAAAAAGCAAGCAAGAAUGAACAGUGCACACACACACAUUAGUUACAACUGUGUUGUGUCACUGUCAUGUCAUGUUAGGUCCUACGGUCAUAAACGUGGUGGUAGAGCGGACCUAGUAUUUAUAUUUAAAACAGUAUUUUUAACCGGUUAUCUAUUCUAUUAAAAUUAAAGCACAAAAUGUUAUUUGCCUAAUUUUAAGCAAUUUUUAUUUUGUCUACAUUUUUUUAUAACUAAUUUUAACCACUUCAUUUAUUGUUUUUUCGAAUAAUUCGACAACAUUUAUACACAAGUGUAACAUAGAAUUUAUCUAUUUUAAUUGUUCUAUUACAUUUUAUAUAUUCCAUUUUCAACUCUUUAUAACUAUUUCAAUAAUUAUCUUUAUCAUAAUAAAUUAAUAAAUAUACAUCAUUUGUUUUACGUGUUAACCAUAAUAUCUCACAGAUUUGAAUGCAAUUAUUUCAUUCGGACAAAAAUUCACACCAAUUAACAAAGAAAAAAAUAUUUAUUUACAUAAUCAGUUAGACAUUAGUACUUAGGUAUCCAUUCGGGUAUGAAACGAUCCUUUCAAGUAUCAAGAUUCUGGGUUUUAAAAUUAGGCUCGUUUGGAUAUUAUAAAUUUAUGGAUGGAGUCCGAGUCGAAUCCUCCUCGAUUCGGUUAGUUCAGUUAUGAUGUGUAAGAAUCUAAAAAAUAUCCAAAUAACCUAUGUAUUUAGAAAUGUCAUAAAAAAUUAUAAAAAAAGUAAAACAUAUUAUCCGCGCGGGCGCAUGGGUCAAGAUCUAGUUUAUAUUUAAAAUAAAAAAAAAAUAAAGGAUGGGCAGGUAGCUUUUUAUAUAAAAUGAGCUUUUUGUCAUUAAUUUUUUAUAUAUAUUUUGGUGCAUUAAAAUAAAAAUGUAACAAGAGGGUUACAAACUUACAAUAAGGUGAUCAUAGCUUUUUGUCAUUAGUUAGAUAAUAUUAGAUUAUCAUUCAUAUAAUUAAAAAUAUAUUUCCUCGUAUUUUUUUUUUCUUACACCAUUAAAAAUAAUUUCCAUAAAUAAACUGUAAUAAAAGAAUAACCAAACAUGAAAGUUUGUUUUCAAGUAAAUGCGAAAACUAAACAACAGAUUAAAACGUGUCAUUCAUUGAUUUUAUUAAUUAUCACUACUAUAUAGUUAAAAAAAAAUAUCGGGUUCAUGAGAGUCAGCUGGCACCUACCUAUCAUAUGUGUCCUCCCUUACGUGGUGGUUUGUGAAUUGUGAGAGAAAGUUCACAUACAUGUCCGAACAAAAGAGAGAAGAAGUGGGAGACUCUCUGUAGUCUCUACCUGGCCAGAGGGCAGAGACUUUCGUAUUAACAAUCCUUUUAGCUCGAAAGCAAUUUUUCCUUUAUUUCUGUAACGUCCCAUCUUACGUGCUUUAGUAAAAUACAUUUCAGACGUUUCCCAAGUAAAGAAAUUCCUACGAAUGCAAAUCACACAAUCAUUGUUAUGGUCCUUAUCGAUGCUCAAUUCAUAUCGUACGCUUGGUUGGAGUUGUGUCGGUUAAUAUAAGAUCCGGCCCCAACCCCAACGCAUUACGACAUGAGAGUACGGACAAUAACAACAUAACGCAUACACUGUUCUAAGCUCAAUCACAAACCUCGGAUCCUUCUAGCUCAAAAAUUGACCUACUAGUUAUAUCUACGCCUAUAUAUGGUAAACAAACCCUAACGAAAACUAAAAGAAAACAAAAGAAGCGAGAACAACAUGAAGGUGAGUUCAAAGUCUAAAUUAAUUAUUUUCUUUUUGAUAAUUAAUGAGCUUUUAAUUUACGUAAUCUUAUCUCUUUGCAGCUGCUAGGUUGGAUGCGAACUAUAAACCUAAGUUGCUUUGAUCCAUCAAAGGAGUUCAAAGGUUUAACAAUUACUAUAGUAUAUACAUAACUUAUAUUUAAAAAAAAAACUAUGUCUCUCUCCCAUGAAACCUUUCAAAUAACCUAAUUCUUUUUUUUUUCUUUUUCAAAUAACCUAAUUCUUCAUCUUCAUAAAAUGUUACAUAUAUAUGUUUUUGGUUUACUUAUAUAGUCAAGCUAUCUUUCAGGUGGUUUCUGUUGUCUAAGAGCUCACGUUACCUCUGAAGUCCGAGACAUCCGAACAAACUCCUUCUCCUUCUCCAGAUCAUCUCAUGACCCCAAUCCACCGAAAACUGAUGAGGAACUUUGGUUUGAUGAAGGCAGGUUCGGCGGCUUUCUGGCGAUCGGUACGCUUGGUAGAGAUCCUGAAACACCAAAAUUCACAUCUUCCAUUGCUGAAGAUGAUGUAACCGUGGCAAAGCUCGUUACUGAGAAACUAGACAAGUUUCUUGAGGAAUAUUCUGAUGAGGAUAGUAGCAGUAAGCAGGUAGAAAUAUCGAAGGCAGAAUAUGGUCUCUUUGGAUCAUCCACUGAGCUUACGAAGAGAGGCAAUGAAGUAAAGAAGAUGAAGGGUUUACUUAAAAACCUCUUCAAGAGAAGAAAGGCAGUAGAAGGAGAGUGUAACUCAAUGGAGAAACAAGGGACCAGAGAUUUGAUUAAAAGGAUAUUUAAAAUGCUCCACGUCUCUCCUUCAAAGACGAGAAAUGAUGAUACCUACGAUGACGAUGAUUAUUCCAUGCACAAGAAGAAAGAUAUAAGAAAGGUUUGAGUCUUUUUAGCUUUAAGCAUUUUCAGAUCUUAUCCAAAGAGAUUGGUCGGAAGAAUUCUGAAAGUUAAUAUGGUUUUGGUUUUGGUUAUAGAGUGGUCAAAUCUUCCAAAGUAAAGUCCAUCCUGUUAUGUGUACACCUGAAAGAGACGAUAACAAGAUAGACGACAGAAGAAGCUGCAAACUCAAGAUCCCGAGUCUUAAUGGAGGGUUUCUCGUUCCAAGUUCCAUCUCCAAAGUGAACAGGAAAAGAGAAAAUUGGAUCAGGACUGACGCAGAGUGUAAGUCAAGAUGUUAUUCAGAACUUAUCUAUUCGAUUUUAUUUCUCUCUCUCUCUCAAAAGAGUUUUCAUAUCGUUUGCUUGCUUUUGCAGAUCAUGUUCUGGAACUGUGAAGAUCAACACACUGCAACAAAACUCCAUUGAUCCAGCCAAAGUUCACUCCUAUCAAACAUAUAUAUAUAUAUAUAUAUAUCUAUACAUAUCUACAAAAUCAUUGUCUAGUAAUGUGUAGUGAGAUUGUACGAGUUUUCAGGUCCAGAACUUCCUAGUUAUUCAGAAAAAAAAACACAUAUGUAUAAUUAUACACACAUAUCUACAAAAUCAUUGUCUCAAAUGUGUAGUCCGGAGGUUAUGUAUUCUACUUUAAGGUAAUGAAUAAGAAACUUCAAUUCUAUAAAAGUAUAGUACCAUAAUUUAAACACAUUCGCAGUAGUGAUUUUAGCCACAAUUAUUAACCGGUCACAAAAUGUCACAUCUCAGCUCCAAACGAGUAACAACUGCUCACAAAAUGUGUAACAUAUACGACCCUCUUUGACUCUUGAGCUUGCAUUCUCAACACCAUUCGUGCAAGCCAUAUAAGUUAAGAAUAUUAACACCUCUGGAACUCCGUGGGGGUAGUUAUAAAAAUAGAGAAGAAACAGAGUUACUAUGAUGCUUCUUAGAUUAUAUUUAAUUUUUAUUUUUUUUGAACAAGAUUAUGUUUAAUUAAUUUACUGAAAAUCAGGUCCAGUGUUACUGAUCAAAGAGUGAAACAAACAAAAAGGAAACCCAAACCACUAAGAAAACUAUCAAGUAGACACAUAUAUCUUGAUAUCAUCUUUCAGGAAUAGUAAUCUACUUUAUAUCAAGUUCUUUAACAAAAAGCAAACUCUAUCAAAGAGCACAGAAACAAUUGAUUGAACAAUCACCAAAGCUCAAAAAAGCUAAAGCCAAUAUAGAAUACAGUGCCCUCCUUGUAAGCUAUCACUAAGCUUUAGUAUCUUAACCUCUUAUUCCUUCUACUUAGCCACCAAGAAAAGCCAAAAAGACUCGUCAAUAUCCUUCUACAUAAUACAUCAUUUGUCUCCAUCUUCAUCUGCAAAAGAACAAACACUCUAAAGUCUAUUCAUACACACACACACACUUGAGCCGUCAUCAAUGAGCACGGACUGGGGAACGGUAAUUGUAGCGGUGUCUCUGUUCAUCCUACUAUCACCAGGACUACUGUUUCAGAUUCCAGCGAGAACGAGAGUGAUGGAGUUCGGGAACAUGAGCACGAGCGGUAUAGCCAUUUUGGUUCACGCAGUUAUAUACUUCUGUAUUUUCACGAUCUUGGUGGUAGCUAUACAAGUUCACAUCCAUUUCUGAUCUCCACUCUUCUUAUAUCAUGUAUAAAUGUAACAAAAUGAAGGGAGGUUUAUUGCAAACUCUAAUGUAAUGUACAAAUUUCUCUGAUAUUCCUCCUUUCCGACAAUGUUUCUAGCAGGACCACAAUGCUUAGCAACUUUUCUCUGAAUUUGAGCUGAUUAACAGAGUUAAAGAGUACAAAAUAUAUUAAAAUGAAGCAAACUGAAGUAACAAUACAAGUACAACAUAACCCUUUUCACCAAAUCUAUUUGUUACAACAUCAGACGAAAAACUAUAGAUUAAAGGUAUAUAAAGAACCCUAAUUACAGAGUUUCUAUACCUGUUUUUAAAAAGGGUUACACAUUUAUUUCAUUUAAGCAACAAAAAAAAAGAGGCCUAGAACAGAUCAACCGGCGUAGAUGUGGAGAUUAACGGCGAGGAUCAAAAUGGAGUAAAUGGCGAAGAAGAUGAGAGUGUGAACAGCUAUGGCUUUUCCAUUGGUUUUAAGGUUACCGAAGUCUACCACUCGGUUAUUUCCGGGUAUUGAGAAGAGCAGUCCCGGAGAGAGGAUCACGAAAAGGACAACUCCGACGAGAACCGGAGCCCAAUCCGCCAUUGGCUGCCGUUAAAAGUGAAAAAGGUUAGGCCUUUAGAAAAGGACAGGAGGAGACUGGAGAGAAGCUGGAGAGGAAAGUUAUGGUAAUGGGAUGGUUUGUUUUAUUUAAAUAAUAAUCUCGUGGUUAUCAGUAAUUUAAUAGCGCUAAAUCAAAUUUUUGUUCUCAAACUAGUAUUCAAGGUCAAAAGUUACAAAAAUAACACUUAAUGUUUUAUCAAAAGUCACAAACUUAUGGUUUAGAGUUAAAGGGUGGGGUUUAGGAUUUAGGGUUUAAGGUUUAGAGUUUAAGGUUUAGGGUUUAGGGUUUAGGGUUUAGGGUUUAGAGUUUAGGGUUUAGGAUUUAGAGUUGAGAAAUGGGGUUUUGGGGAUAAGAUUUCAAAUUUUGAAAAAUAAAAAAAUUUAAAUUUUCAAA